GGGGCUAUAGCCCAGUUGGUAGAGCGCCUGCAUGGCAUGCAGGAGGUCAGGAGUUCAAUUCUCCUUAGCUCCA
This 73-nucleotide transfer RNA is filed under the name Streptomyces sp. H28. Its description in RNAcentral is "tRNA-Ala". It matches the Rfam family "tRNA". From Rfam's summary of the family: Transfer RNA (tRNA) molecules are approximately 80 nucleotides in length. Their secondary structure includes four short double-helical elements and three loops (D, anti-codon, and T loops). Lineage: Bacteria; Bacillati; Actinomycetota; Actinomycetes; Kitasatosporales; Streptomycetaceae. The record is from RNAcentral.